UACGUAGGGCGCAAGCGUUAUCCGGAAUUAUUUGGCGUAAAGAGCUCGUAGGCGGUUUGUCGCGUCUGCCGUGAAAGUCCGGGGCUCAACUCCGGAUCUGCGGUGGGUACGGGCAGACUAGAGUGUUGCAGGGGAGACUGGAAUUCCUGGUGUAGCGGUGAAAUGCGCAGAUAUCAGGAGGAACACCGGUGGCGAAGGCGGGUCGCUGGGCCAUUCCUGACGCUGAGACGCGAAAGCUAGGGGAGCGAACAGG
This 253-nucleotide ribosomal RNA is filed under the name uncultured bacterium. Its description in RNAcentral is "partial 16S ribosomal RNA". It matches the Rfam family "Bacterial small subunit ribosomal RNA", at positions 524 to 776 of the family's 1533-position model. The record is from RNAcentral.